Camellia sinensis is the source of this 1369-nucleotide non-coding RNA. The record is from RefSeq and is a predicted model, not a curated record. Lineage: Eukaryota; Viridiplantae; Streptophyta; Magnoliopsida; Ericales; Theaceae.
CUGCUGAGGUGAUGUCCACCUGGAGAAUUUUUUUUCUAAAAGAGAUGGGUGAGAAGAUUUCACCUUCUAAACUCAAUCAUAUGAACAAAGUUAUUGCAUAAAUUAGUAGUCUUGUGCCUGAAAUGGCAAAGGAAAGUAGAGAAUACUUUACAAUCUUUCAACAACCUCCUCAGCCCUGCUUACCAUAAGUUUAAUGCGAACCUUUUUGUCAAAACAAAUCAAACCAAUAAACAUUGAAUAUUAACCCUGUGACUAUAAUUAUAGUGAGCAUAAUCUCAUAUGAUGAACGAUUCAUUACAUAGAUUUAUGGUUUUGGGUAGUUCUAAUCUAAAACUUAAGAAUGAAGCUCUCUUGAUUAAGUGGUGGUGGAGGUUUGCAUCUGAGCCAAAUCCCCUUUGGAAAAGAGUGAUUUUUGAAAAGUAUAAUUGGUACAACAAGAGAUGGGAUAUUUCAUAAUUUCAUUGCUUAAAAGGAUAAUGCAUUUUUUUUUUCUUCUUUUUCUUCUGAACAUGCCCCCAUUAAUGUGCUACUGAAAUUGGGGAAAUGGAAUGAGAUUUCUCUUUUUGUUUGAUAAAUGGGUGUCUGAUGUAACAAAGAUGGUCUCAUUAAUGAUUUCAUAACAUGUGUACGUCACGUAGGAAGACUUUGUUUGUAUGUUACGAGGAGGAGGAAUGCCAUCAUAGGUUAUUGAAAAUGCUGCCACAGAUUGAUCAGCUUAAUGCCAAUCAAUGGAUAGAUUAAUUUGGAAGCGUGAUCCAUCAGGAGAUCUAGGAAAUUUGGGGUGAUUGUUUGUCUUGGUGGGUAAUGAAAUGGGUUGUUCCUUAUCGGUUAAUGCCUUGAUUUGUGGUUUGGAUUCAAAUUCAAGAAUGUCAAAAAGCUCUUAUGGGAGGCUAAACCCAUCCAUGGCAAUUUUUUGGACUAUCUGGAAAACCAGAAAUAAUAACCUUGUCUUUAAUAAUGGUGAAACUUCUUGGGAAAAUGUCUUGGAGUUAAUUAAAGAGAAAGUUGCAACUCGGCUAAAAGCACAUUGAAUUAUCCCUUGCUAUACAGUUGCUGAUUUAAUCUUAAAGAUGAAAGAAGUCAAAGACCUACACUUCCCUUUAAAAGUGGUGUAAAUGGUGAUUCAGCUUUGGAUGAUGAAAGGGACUGAUUCAACUUGGAAGAUGGAUGAGUUCAUAUGGCUGGAUUGCAUUCUUGGUCAUUGUUCUGCCUCAGUUUGGCUAGUGUAGGCAGUUGAGUCCUCAUUGUUUUUGUUUUUCAGCUUUGUUAUCCUAGUUGGUGUCAUGCUGUCUUUUUUUUUCUUUUUUUGGAGUGGAUCCUAACAUUAUGAAAAGUUGUCUAGUUGCUGCUACAAUCUUGGUCAUUGUUC